UACAGAGGGUGCCAGCGUUGUUCGGAAUCACUGGGCGUAAAGCGCGUGUAGGCGGUCUCCUAAGUCAGGUGUGAAAUCCCCCAGCUUAACUGGGGAAGUGCGCCUGAAACUGGGAGGCUUGAGUAUCGGAGAGGGUAGGGGAAUUCCCGGUGUAGAGGUGAAAUUCGUAGAUAUCAGGAGGAAUACCGGUGGCGAAAGCGACUCUCUGGACGGCAACUGGCACUGAGGCGCGAAAGCGUGGGGAGCAAACAGG
Molecule: ribosomal RNA, 253 nt
Filed under: uncultured bacterium
Lineage: Bacteria
Description: partial 16S ribosomal RNA
Rfam family: Bacterial small subunit ribosomal RNA
Source: RNAcentral